RNAcentral lists this ribosomal RNA (446 nucleotides) under uncultured bacterium. RNAcentral's name for it is "bacterial SSU rRNA". It matches the Rfam family "Bacterial small subunit ribosomal RNA", at positions 329 to 792 of the family's 1533-position model. The record is from RNAcentral.
CUCCAGACUCCUACGGGAGGCAGCAGUGGGGAAUAUUGCACAAUGGGGGAAACCCUGAUGCAGCAACGCCGCGUGAGUGAAGAAGUAUUUCGGUAUGUAAAGCUCUAUCAGCAGGGAAGAAGAUGACGGUACCUGACUAAGAGGCCCCGGCUAACUACGUGCCAGCAGCCGCGGUAAUACGUAGGGGGCAAGCGUUAUCCGGAUUUACUGGGUGUAAAGGGAGCGUAGACGGCGAUGCAAGCCAGAUGUGAAAGCCCGGGGCUCAACCCCGGGACUGCAUUUGGAACUGUGUGGCUGGAGUGUCGGAGAGGCAGGCGGAAUUCCUAGUGUAGCGGUGAAAUGCGUAGAUAUUAGGAGGAACACCAGUGGCGAAGGCGGCCUGCUGGACGAUGACUGACGUUGAGGCUCGAAAGCGUGGGGAGCAAACAGGAUUAGAUACCCCGGUA